This 45-nucleotide non-coding RNA is filed under the name Trichobilharzia regenti. Lineage: Eukaryota; Metazoa; Platyhelminthes; Trematoda; Strigeidida; Schistosomatidae. The record is from RNAcentral.
AUUCAGAUGACAAGUCCCAAAUAGGAGGAAAUGCGCAUCUUGGAU